CCUACGGGAGGCAGCAGUGAGGAAUAUUGGUCAAUGGACGAGAGUCUGAACCAGCCAAGUAGCGUGAAGGAUGACUGCCCUAUGGGUUGUAAACUUCUUUUAUAUGGGAAUAAAAUGUUCCACGUGUGGGCUUUUGUAUGUACCAUAUGAAUAAGGAUCGGCUAACUCCGUGCCAGCAGCCGCGGUAAUACGGAGGAUCCGAGCGUUAUCCGGAUUUAUUGGGUUUAAAGGGUGCGUAGGUGGAUUGUUAAGUCGAUUGUGAAAGUUUGCGGCUCAACCGUAAAAUUGCAGUUGAAACUGGCAGUCUUGAGUACAGUAGAGGUGGGCGGAAUGCGUGGUGUAGCGGUGAAAUGCUUAGAUAUCACGAAGAACUCCGAUUGCGAAGGCAGCUCACUGGACUGCAACUGACACUGAGGCUCGAAAGUGUGGGUAUCAAACAGGAUUAGAUACCCGGGUAGUC
This 460-nucleotide ribosomal RNA is filed under the name uncultured bacterium. RNAcentral's name for it is "partial 16S ribosomal RNA". It matches the Rfam family "Bacterial small subunit ribosomal RNA", at positions 338 to 795 of the family's 1533-position model. The record is from RNAcentral.